ACCGGACCGGGUUCAGGGACGGCCUGGGUCCCACUUGGAAACCGGACCGGGUUCAGGGACGGCCUGGGUCCCACUUGGAAACCGGACCGGCUCCGGGGACGGCCUGGGUCCCACCUGGGAACCAGACCGGGUUCAGGGACAGCCUGUCUCCCACUUGGGAACCGGAUGAGCUCUAGGAACGACCUGGGUCCCACUUGGAAAUCGGACCGGGUUCAGGGACGACCUUGGUCCCACCUGGGAACCAGACCGGGUUCAGGGACGGCCUGGGUCCCACCUGGAAACCGGACCAGGUGCAUUCACGGCCUGGGCCUCUCUUCGAAACCGGAUUAGGUCUGAAGUCAGGCUGGAUCCAACUUAAACUGAACUGAGUCUAGUAUGAGGCCUCAGGUUCUGGUGACCAGGACAUCCCACUCCCUCCAAAGCCUGCAGCCAGGAUCCAUGGAAAACUGGCAGAAGCCAGCAGAAGAGUAAGUAUUCUUACCAGUCAGCUCUCCCAGAUGUCUAUUUGUGGUGCCUGAUCGAGAAAGGAAGGUAAAAUUUCAUGUCCUUCUUUAUCUUUAUUAAUGUUUAUUUUUGAGAGAGAGACAGAGUGCCAGCAGGGGAGGGGCAGAGAGAGAGGAGACACAGAAUGUGAAGCAGGCUCCAGGCUCUGAGCUGCCACCACAGAACCCAACGGUGGGGCUCAAACCCAAGAACCAGGAGAUCGUGACUUGAGCUGAGGUCUGAAGCUUAACCAAUGGAGCCACCCAGGCACCCAUCAUAUCGUUCUUUUACAAAUUCAGAUUGGCAGGGAAAAAAAAUCUUUGCAUUGUGACUGGUCAGUUUGCUCUCAAGUGCCCAUUGGUUGUUAAUCCUUCCUCAGAACAGCUAUUACCUUAUUUGCCUCAUUUUCUGUCAUGAGAACUUGGUUUGUCAGCCAUCAGGUUGGGGGCCCCCCAAAAUAUGGCCAAACAGAAAUGUUGCCUCCCAUUUGCAACUAGAUACAGCUGACAAAUGUGGGUUGCACUCCACUUGCUUCUAGGGUCCUACUAACUAUUGCCAGAUCUCAGUGGAACUGAGGGUUUUUUCCCCCCUGGGUUAUCUUUUGUAGAGACUCUGGAUCUUGAGAGGAUAUUAUCGUUUGUACCCUCUUUGGGAUCACCUUUUGCAUCCACAGGGUUGUUCAAUACUGCCAGGAAUCGUUACUGUUUGUCCUGGAUGAAAUCUUACGAUUCAAAUUGAUUUUUGCACAAAUAAACUCUUAAAAUUUUUAAUACGCUUCAGUUUGCUUUUUAACAGCCUGCACUAAUGGAGACAAUUGUAUGACAGCCGCAUAAUCCUCCAUGCCCGGGGGGUGGGUAAGACACAAGAGCUCUGUUUAUAGUACUGCAUUUAAAAGAUUACCAAAUUAUCAUUCACUGAAAAAUAUGUUGUUUAUUCACCUCCUUAAUCAUAAUUUUAAAAAAACUCAUAAUAUAAAAAAUAAAUUAGAGAGACAAAAUCUGAACUAGAAGACCUCCGUUUGGCCCUUGGACCAUUAUCUCAAUGAAAAGGCAGCCAUUUUAAAAAACCAGCCUUACCAAGCUCUGGGAAAACUUGAAGGCAUCUAAAAAAGUCAUUAGCAUAUCCAGCCACCAGGUGUCACCAUUGGUUUAAGCAAAUGUGCUCUAUCUAGCUCUAGGCUAAUUCAUAGUUUUGGAUCUCUGCAACAUUAGAUGGCAUCUCACCUUGACAAUUGUUGAAACAGGGUCCAGUUAGUUCCAACCUAUUUAUGGAGAAAUUAGAACUCAUUCUAGCAACUUCAAACUUCCUUUCUCGUGCUUUCAUGUAUUUUUAUUAAAUAGAAAAAAUAAAUGAAACCAGCUCAGUAAUGCCCUUUAGACUAGUAAACUACAAUUAGGAAGAAUUAUAUGAAAACAGUUGUCUGUGUCACAGGGGCAAGAUUCAGGUAACAGUGUUUGCUCACCGUUUCCCCUUUUAAAACUGCACUCUCCCAUACUGCCCGUUGAAACAUCUUCACAAAGGGAAAAGGAGUGGGGAAGAACUUGCCAAUUGAGGUCCAAUUAAAAUGUGUUCUUUUUAGGCAGAUGAUAUUUAGAUAAUAGUCCCUAGGAAGGCAGUUCAUAUUCUGAAAUUUACAAAUGAUUUUUUCAAUGUAUGGGUGUAUCCAGGAUUCCUUAGUUUCUCUAUUUUUUGAUUAAUAUAAAGUUUAAGUGUUAAUAUCUUUUGUUGCUAAUCCUUGGCUUCUCUAUAGAUUGACAAGUAGUCUGCCAUUUAUACAAAUCCAUUUUCUGUCCAACAAGACUCCUUCUGUAUCCUCACCCUCAUUCAAAUAUUCCAACAAGCAAUUCUUUUAAAUUUCUACCUCCUUCCAUCUCAUGACUACUGCCUUCUCAGGGAGAAAACAUCGGAUAGAUUUCUGUUUCCUAAAGAUACUGCAAAGAUAUCUUGGCAGUUCCUCACUACAUAGAAACCAUCAGUAUUGGUUUUCCCACUACAAAUGUAAAUCUUGAAACAAGAAACAAUACAUGAUAAGAGCAAAGGCCAAAGGGGAAAGCAAUGAAGUGUGUGUCUGAGAUUGGAAGGAAGAAAAUACCAAGUAAGAAUUUACCCCUGGCUUGUUCUUAUUAAAUCACAUGAUUCUGCCAUUGUGUUUUUUAUAGCCCCAUGAUUUUGUUUUUCUUUUAUUUGGCAAACAAAAUUAAACUCACUAUUCAAACAAAAUGACAUGAAAUUGUGUGAGCCAAGAUGAACAAAAAUGCACAGUUGAUUUAUUUAAGUUCCAGGAAUAAUAGUCAAUGAGUUUGAAUAAAAUGUGCUGUUAAAAACAGGACAUUAAAGAUAAUUUAAAUAUAUUCAGUGCAGUCAUUCAUUCUAGUUUCAUGCACGUUAAGUAGGUUUUUUAUCUCUAAGGUGCCAUCAACGGAACUCUCCGACAUUCAAAAUACCAGUAUUAUAUCAUUAACACAUUUCUGGUCAAUGAGUUGAGUAAUGUAGAACUUAUGAAAAUAUGUAUUGCCAUUCUCUUUCAAAUGAGCUGCAUAUUACAUCCAUUAACAUAACUAUAUUGAUCUAAUUUCGUUAUUUUCAGUAGAGUGCAGUUUGGAAAUAUAAAAUUGACAAAUGAGAGCCAAAGAAGAGGGGGCUAACAUCAAAGAUCAUAAAUUACAAAACCUCAAUAAGGAAUAUCUUUGUAAUUGCCAUAAUGUGGAAGUGUUAAAUAGCAUGCAUUUAGUUUUUUAAAAAAGAGAAAAUCUUACAUGUUUUAACCAUUUUAUUUUGACCAGACUAUAUCUGUUGGUAGUAGAUUAUUUACUCUUCCUUUCAGAGAGCUAGUUGGAGUACACCUAAUUAUCUAGAUUAUUUAUCAUAUGACUGUGGGAAGGUCAAAUCAUAUGACUGUGGGAAGGAUGGAUACUUGGGUUCUACUCCCAGAGAUUCUUGCUUUAUUUGGCCUGGGGUGUGAUCUGAGCAUCAGAUAUUUAAAAGCUUCCCAGGUAGUUAUGAGGCAGACAAGGUUGACAGUCACUGUACCAAUUUCAUUUUACACAAAUGGAUGUUAACACUCUUACUGUUAUUUUCAAUGUUAUUUAAUAAAGGGGCUUAGUUGCAAAUAGGAAUUAAAAUGUGCUUGAGGAAAUCUUUCAAAUUACUGCAAAACAUAACUGCAGAUUAAAUAUUCUUUACAACCAAAGGAAGAAGAACAUGGAAUCAGUAGAUGCACCUUCAUGCAUCUCUUAAUUAAUCAACGGAUCCAUUACAAAAUUCCCAAACGCCAAUUUUCUGGAGCUUCCAAACAAUUUUGGUGUUACAAAAAAAAAAAAAAAAAGGGCAAACUAAAAAAACCUAAUAUCAAAUAAUUUGGGGUUAAAUAGACUUUUCUAUAGGAUUUCCUAGAAUUUAUAAUGGUAAUAGACUGUAAAUCUUCAAAAGGGAUAGGAUGCCCUGUCCUGUGUAAGAUGCAGUAUGUUGAAUGGUUGAAGGAAUCGUGGAUUCAUGGAACACACUUUAGGAAAUGCAAUCCACAUAUAUGUCUUUUAAGACAAUGAUAAUUAAUACCUGCAGCCAAAAAUGUUAUCCAAAGAUUUCACUCUGCAGGUCUGAAUUACCACUUGCUUUUUAACCUUCUCCUUUGGAUAAAACAUUAUAUUGCCUUCAAAUAUUUGAAAGUGUUCUACCAGAGGAAUUAAGACUACCAACUCAGGAGUAAAGCUUCUUAUGUUCACACCAGCAUUUUUUACUUAAUCUCUCUGUGCUUCAGUAUCUUCACCUGCAAAAUGGGGGAAAUGUAUCCCCCCCCCCCCACCUCAGGGUAUGUAGCACUUGAGAAACUUAGGUCCUUGACAUUCUGUUACAAUAACAAAAGUGACACUUAAAAGUGAAGGGCCAAACUACCAUAUAAAGAAUUUCAAAGGAAAUUUCUUCUGAGAAUCUAUUCCAUGACUUCUGAACCCUCUGGCCUACUUUGAGAAUAUGAAAGAAUUGAAAAGAAAGGAGAAGGGAUAUCUGUGAAGGGAACACUCUAAAAAGAGCUGUUGCCUUAUUAAUAGUCCACCACCCCACUCUAUAUUAAGGAUUCAGAUAGGUCCACUUGGCCAUCCUGAAUGUUGCACCCCUGUACUUUGGGGAUCCCAGGCCUGCCAUUUGCUUUCUACUCAAGGGAUCUAGAGGACUAGGGACGCCUGGAUAACUGCUCUGGAGGCAGAUCCACCUCAUUCUCAGAGUUCUUCAGGCAACAGGACACUAGCAUGUUUCGUGUGGACCGGAGGUAGGCAGCUGAUUAGAGUCUGGCCCAGUAGCAAGAAGCUGGAGGUGAGGACAAAUUCCCAGGAUACAAAGCAGUAGGAGCAAGUGGCUACCAGAAUUCCAAAUAGCUCAGCCAGCCAGCAACAGGAGCACUAGAAGAAGGAGAUCUCCAGCACCUGGAAAGAUGCCACAAAAGUACUCCAUGAGGAAAAAAUCUGCUUAAAACCAAAAGGCCCAAAAUGGCUAUAUAGAGAAAGUCUAAUGAGAGCCUCUUUCCAGGGAAGACUGCAGGGAAAACAGUCCCAGGCUGGGCCAAAGGAGAUUUUCCUGUUAAAUUAAGGGCAGAGCUUGGUUAAUAUCCUGGGCCCCCAAAUCUAAUUAUUGAAUUGAGCCUGUUUCGUGAUCUUAAUUGACAGUGGGAUGAUCUAUGACCUAAGCAUGAGAAGAAAAGUCACAGGGUCUGGAGAAAUUUUCAUCCAAGGGAACCAGUGAUUACUGAGUGAAUUUUAAAGGGGCAGAAAGACAAAAAUAAUCUGAUUACAUACCAUGAAUCCUGCAACACAUGCAUGUGUAUAUUUUAAAAUAGAAUGUUUCAUAAAUUCCCAUGAAUUGCAGGAUGAUAAUACUCUCAAGUUUACAUCCAUGCUACAAAGUGUGGUCCAUGAACCAGCAGCAGCAACAGCAACACUGGAAGUUUUUUAUAAAUGCAGAAUCUCAAGCUUCACCCUAGACCUGCUGAAUCAGAACCUGCAUUUUAAGGAGAUCCUCAGGGGAUUUAUACACAUAUUACAGUUUCAGAAGCACUGCCUUAUGCCACUCCACUGCCCAUAAGAAAGUCUUUGUGAUAUUUGAAUAUCUACUAAUUGUGACGUAACCAUCCAUUGAAGUCAUCAUGAAGGACUCCCAAUAGCAACAAAUAUGUUAUAGAACUUUGGCAUUUUCAAAGCUCAUUCUAUUUCUGUUAUACUCACAGUUAACUGGUUGACUUUUAAACUGAUUUAGGUAUUUCACCUGUUACCUCAUGUACUUAAUGCACAUGCAAGUGGUUGCACAAGUGACAAGAAAACCUACCUCUAACACCUGGUGUUCUAGGACACCUUCCAAUACCAAAGAAAGAUUAGACAGAUCAGCAUCUGUUAUUGAGUAAUAUACUCUCAUUAGCUUAUCUUAGCAAUAUGGCCACAGAGCUUCUAGAUUCUGCAGAUAAUAAGUGAGAGACAGACUUCCAGAUUACCAUAGCCUCAGGAAAACUUGCUUGGGUGGCCUUAUCAGCAGAAAUGGAGAAAUAUUACCUCCUUUGGCUCCUCAUACCCCUUUACACCAGCCUCUCUCACUAACUGGGAUGCCCCUGGCUGCAAAUCAAGAAGGAAAUUAUCAUCUAAGUGUCAGUGAAUGGAUUCAAGGAUAAAACCUGCAAACGAAGGUUCAUGAUGGAAAACCAAAGAAAAUGCAACAUGGUACCAGAGAGGCACCCAAGACAAGUCAGGUGUGGGUAGUAUGGGCUCAUUGUACUUGAAGAAUACCAAAUUAAUAUUUACUGAAUGAAUAAAUAUAUCAUAAAUGAGUAAAUGAAAUGAAUUGGUCUGGAAUUCAUAUCUUUUAGGCUACUUUGUAUUUCUAAAUCCCUAUAGUUCCCUGCCAAACGAAAUCUUUAUGCAAUAUUUCUUUAUUCUUUCUCAUGCUUGAACUCACCUUACAGCUGGUGGGGAUUCCAUUGUGUUUCAACAGAACAACAUUGAAAUCCAGACAAGCCCAUCCUCAUAAGAUGGCCAUCCUCAUAAGAUCACUAGCUAUGGUUUUAAAAGUUUAAAUCUUGGUUCUAUCACUUGUAGGUUCUACCACUUGUAAUUUUGUGUAGUUACCUAACUUGUGGAGCCACUAAUACCUUCCCUUAUAAAAUAAGGCAAGUAAUGCCUCGUCUAUAAGGCUAUUGUGUGAUUUAGAGAGGAUAACAACUGUGGAAGUUUGUAGCAUAGUGUGGGUAUAGAAUAAUUCUUCAAUAAUGCACUGUACAUUUCUCAUGACCUCACCCUCACCCUACAUGUAUUGUUCUGGAUGUGCUUAAACCUCAUCCCUGUCCUUACUAGAUUCAACCUCUGAGACUAAUACAAAUUGUCUAGUUGUAUAAAUUAUUAAUGGAGACAAAGCACAGAAUUAGUUUUAUUUUUCUACUUUCAAGUUCAUUUGUACAUUCAUUCAUACAUUCAUCAAAUAAUCUAUUGAGCACUUAGCAAGCAUUAGAUAUAAUCCCAAUAUAUCCAACUAGAAAUAAGCCUCAUUAAGAAAAAAUUCUAGAGGUGCCUGGGUGGCUCAGUCAGUUAAGUGUCUGACUCUUGAUUUCAGCUCAGGUCAUGAUCUUACAGUUCAUGAGUUCAAGCCCGGAGUCAGACUCUGCACUGACAGUGCAGAGCUUGCUUGGGGUUCUGUCUCUCUCCCUCUCUGACCUUCCCCCACUCUCAUGCACACUCUCUCUCUC
Long non-coding RNA from Acinonyx jubatus (cheetah), 7201 nucleotides. RefSeq lists it as uncharacterized. The transcript is spliced from 2 exons. Lineage: Eukaryota; Metazoa; Chordata; Mammalia; Carnivora; Felidae. The record is from RefSeq and is a predicted model, not a curated record.